Molecule: ribosomal RNA, 1130 nt
Filed under: Salmonella enterica
Lineage: Bacteria; Pseudomonadati; Pseudomonadota; Gammaproteobacteria; Enterobacterales; Enterobacteriaceae
Description: partial 23S ribosomal RNA
Rfam family: Bacterial large subunit ribosomal RNA
Source: RNAcentral
GUACCGUGAGGGAAAGGCGAAAAGAACCCCGGCGAGGGGAGUGAAAAAGAACCUGAAACCGUGUACGUACAAGCAGUGGGAGCACCCUUCGGGGUGUGACUGCGUACCUUUUGUAUAAUGGGUCAGCGACUUAUAUUCUGUAGCAAGGUUAACCGUAUAGGGGAGCCGGAGGGAAACCGAGUCUUAAUUGGGCGUUAAGUUGCAGGGUAUAGACCCGAAACCCGGUGAUCUAGCCAUGGGCAGGUUGAAGGUUGGGUAACACUAACUGGAGGACCGAACCGACUAAUGUUGAAAAAUUAGCGGAUGACCUGUGGCUGGGGGUGAAAGGCCAAUCAAACCGGGAGAUAGCUGGUUCUCCCCGAAAGCUAUUUAGGUAGCGCCUCGUGAAUUCAUCUCCGGGGGUAGAGCACUGUUUCGGCUAGGGGGCCAUCCCGGCUUACCAACCCGAUGCAAACUGCGAAUACCGGAGAAUGUUAUCACGGGAGACACACGGCGGGUGCUAACGUCCGUCGUGAAGAGGGAAACAACCCAGACCGCCAGCUAAGGUCCCAAAGUCAUGGUUAAGUGGGAAACGAUGUGGGAAGGCCCAGACAGCCAGGAUGUUGGCUUAGAAGCAGCCAUCAUUUAAAGAAAGCGUAAUAGCUCACUGGUCGAGUCGGCCUGCGCGGAAGAUGUAACGGGGCUAAACCAUGCACCGAAGCUGCGGCAGCGAACGUAUCACCCAAGACAACUUUACGGAGUUGACGAUUGACGGAGCGAAGCGACGUCAAAGCGUUCAUUAAAGUCGAGUUGGCUUAGGGAUACGUUCGUUGGGUAGGGGAGCGUUCUGUAAGCCUGUGAAGGUGUGUCGUGAGGCAUGCUGGAGGUAUCAGAAGUGCGAAUGCUGACAUAAGUAACGAUAAAGCGGGUGAAAAGCCCGCUCGCCGGAAGACCAAGGGUUCCUGUCCAACGUUAAUCGGGGCAGGGUGAGUCGACCCCUAAGGCGAGGCCGAAAGGCGUAGUCGAUGGGAAACGGGUUAAUAUUCCCGUACUUGGUGUUACUGCGAAGGGGGGACGGAGAAGGCUAUGUUGGCCGGGCGACGGUUGUCCCGGUUUAAGCGUGUAGGUGUGUGUUCCAGGUAAAUCCGGUU